RNAcentral lists this ribosomal RNA (328 nucleotides) under uncultured eukaryote. Its description in RNAcentral is "partial 18S ribosomal RNA". It matches the Rfam family "Eukaryotic small subunit ribosomal RNA", at positions 1470 to 1796 of the family's 1831-position model. The record is from RNAcentral.
CCCUUAGAUGUUCUGGGCUGCACGCGCGCUACACUGAAGCGUUCAACGAGUAUUCACCUUGCCCGGGAGGGUUGGGUAAUCUUUUGAAAACGCUUCGUGAUGGGGAUAGAUUAUUGUAAUUAUUAAUCUUCAACGAGGAAUGCCUAGUAAGCGCAAGUCAUCAGCUUGCGUUGAUUACGUCCCUGCCCUUUGUACACACCGCCCGUCGCUCCUACCGAUUGAAUGGUCCGGUGAAGCGUUCGGACCGUGGCCUUUGGACGGUUCGCCGUCUGUUGGCUGCGGGAAGUUCGUUAAACCUUAUCAUUUAGAGGAAGGAGAANUCGUANCA